This 497-nucleotide ribosomal RNA is filed under the name uncultured bacterium. Its description in RNAcentral is "partial 16S ribosomal RNA". It matches the Rfam family "Bacterial small subunit ribosomal RNA", at positions 28 to 507 of the family's 1533-position model. The record is from RNAcentral.
GAUGAACGCUGGCGGCGUGCCUAAUACAUGCGAGUCGAGCGAACAGAUGAGGAGCUUGCUCCUCUGACGUUAGCGGCGGACGGGUGAGUAACACGUGUAUAACCUACCUAUAAGACUGGGAUAACUUCGGGAAACCGGAGCUAAUACCGGAUAAUAUAUUGAACCGCAUGGUUCAAUAGUGAAAGACGGUUUUGCUGUCACUUAUAGAUGGAUCCGCGCCGCAUUAGCUAGUUGGUAAGGUAACGGCUUACCAAGGCAACGAUGCGUAGCCGACCUGAGAGGGUGAUCGGCCACACUGGAACUGAGACACGGUCCAGACUCCUACGGGAGGCAGCAGUAGGGAAUCUUCCGCAAUGGGCGAAAGCUUGACGGAGCAACGCCGCGUGAGUGAUGAAGGUCUUCGGAUCGUAAAACUCUGUUAUUAGGGAAGAACAAAUGUGUAAGUAACUAUGCACGUCUUGACGGUACCUAAUCAGAAAGCCACGGCUAACUACGUG